RNAcentral lists this ribosomal RNA (497 nucleotides) under uncultured bacterium. Its description in RNAcentral is "partial 16S ribosomal RNA". It matches the Rfam family "Bacterial small subunit ribosomal RNA", at positions 28 to 507 of the family's 1533-position model. The record is from RNAcentral.
GAUGAACGCUGGCGGCGUGCCUAAUACAUGCAAGUCGAGCGAACGGACGAGAAGUUUGCUUCUCUGAUGUUAGCGGCGGACGGGUGAGUAACACGUGGAUAACCUACCUAUAAGACUGGGAUAACUUCGGGAAACCGGAGCUAAUACCGGAUAAUAUUUUGAACCGCAUGGUUCACAAGUGAAAGACGGUCUUGCUGUCACUUAUAGAUGGAUCCGCGCUGCAUUAGCUAGUUGGUAAGGUAACGGCUUACCAAGGCAACGAUGCAUAGCCGACCUGAGAGGGUGAUCGGCCACACUGGAACUGAGACACGGUCCAGACUCCUACGGGAGGCAGCAGUAGGGAAUCUUCCGCAAUGGGCGAAAGCCUGACGGAGCAACGCCGCGUGAGUGAUGAAGGUCUUCGGAUCGUAAAACUCUGUUAUUAGGGAAGAACAUAUGUGUAAGUAACUGUGCACAUCUUGACGGUACCUAAUCAGAAAGCCACGGCUAACUACGUG